RNAcentral lists this ribosomal RNA (460 nucleotides) under uncultured bacterium. RNAcentral describes it as "partial 16S ribosomal RNA". It matches the Rfam family "Bacterial small subunit ribosomal RNA", at positions 338 to 795 of the family's 1533-position model. The record is from RNAcentral.
CCUACGGGGUGCAGCAGUGAGGAAUAUUGGUUAAUGGGCGUAAGCCUGAACCAGCCAAGUCGCGUGAGGGAUGAAGGUUCUAUGGAUCGUAAACCUCUUUUAUAAGGGAAUAAAGUGUGGGACGUGUCCUAUUUUGUAUGUACCUUAUGAAUAAGGAUCGGCUAACUCCGUGCCAGCAGCCGCGGUAAUACGGAGGAUCCGAUCGUUAUCCGGAUUUAUUGGGUUUAAAGGGUGCGUAGGCGGCCUUUUAAGUCAGUGGUGAAAGUUUGUGGCUCAACCGUAGAAUUGCCGUUGAAACUGGGGGGCUUGAGUAUGUUUGAGGCAGGCGGAAUGCGUGGUGGAGCGGUGAAAUGCUUAGAUAUCACGCAGAACCCCGAUUGCGAAGGCAGCCUGCCAAGCCAUGACUGACGCUGAUGCACGAAAGUGUGGGGAUCAAACAGGAUUAGAUACCCUAGUAGUC